Astatotilapia calliptera (eastern happy) is the source of this 869-nucleotide long non-coding RNA. The record is from Ensembl. NCBI's taxonomy places the organism in Eukaryota, Metazoa, Chordata, Actinopteri, Cichliformes, Cichlidae.
CAGGCAGCACUAUUAGUUCUCUCAGUCUCAGAGCAGCGUUUCUCAUUUUGAUUGAAACUGUCAGAAAACGUCAGCCUCGAGCAGCCCGGAUAUUAGUUUACAGAGGCUGUUAGAAUUAUAUGUUUAAUGUUAAAAUGUUGGUGACACAAUAAUUUCAUCCUAAUCGCACUGACGUAUUCAUAGGGUUCAUUUUUGAGAUAAAAUGUCAUCAUGAUAUGCAAAUAUUUCAACCAACCCAAAGCUCAGAGAGCAGAAGGUCACAGGUGAAAUUGGAUGAUGACUUGUUGGUUCAUGACUGUAUUUGAAGCACAUGUGUGACUGCAUGUAUGUGGAAUGUCUCACUGUUAUUGAUCAGGUGACAGAGGCAGCUCUGCCAUGUUGUAGCUCAGACAGAGGUGAAGAGGCGAGCUCACAGGUGGCAAUAUGUCCCAGUGCAGUCAGAGGGGAAGAGCCAGGCCCAAAGAUUAUGCAAGAUGUAAUUAUUCAGUCAGCAAGACACUUGCUGCAGUUACUGACAUCAUCCAACUGAACUGCUGCUGUGAUGAAUCAGAAUACAAGAGAACAGAGUCAAGGUACCAGCUUGGUCAACCCUAAAAGACCAUCUGUUCAUCAAGAAAUGACCAGGUGAAAAAGUCAUAAACUAAACACUCUGCAUGAAUUUAGGAUGCAACUUUAUAUCUUACCUGCUCUACACUCAGGGCUUGAAUUACAACAACAGUCAAUCACAUAAAGAAAAAAAAUACUUUUGGUAGUUCUGUGUCUCUCUCUCUCCUCCAAACCCAGAUGGCUGCUGGUACUGAACCGGGUUCUGCUGGAGGUUUCUUCUUGUUAAAGGGGAGUUUUUCCUCUGCACUGUCACUUCAUGCUGC